UGAGGAAUAUUGGUCAAUGGGCGAGAGCCUGAACCAGCCAAGUAGCGUGCAGGAUGACGGCCCUAUGGGUUGUAAACUGCUUUUAUGUGGGGAUAAAGUGCGUGACGUGUCAUGCAUUGCAGGUACCACAUGAGUAAGGACCGGCUAAUUCCGUGCCAGCAGCCGCGGUAAUACGGAAGGUCCGGGCGUUAUCCGGAUUUAUUGGGUUUAAAGGGAGCGUAGGCUGUCUAUUAAGCGUGUUGUGAAAUUUACCGGCUCAACCGGUGGCUUGCAGCGCGAACUGGUCGACUUGAGUAUGCAGGAAGUAGGCGGAAUUCAUGGUGUAGCGGUGAAAUGCUUAGAUAUCAUGACGAACUCCGAUUGCGCAGGCAGCUUACUGUAGCAUAACUGACGCUGAUGCUCGAAAGUGCGGGUAUCAAACAGG
RNAcentral lists this ribosomal RNA (424 nucleotides) under Fusobacteriota bacterium. RNAcentral describes it as "Fusobacteria bacterium partial 16S ribosomal RNA". It matches the Rfam family "Bacterial small subunit ribosomal RNA", at positions 355 to 776 of the family's 1533-position model. Lineage: Bacteria; Fusobacteriati; Fusobacteriota. The record is from RNAcentral.